CAGAAUUCAGUCAUUCGCAUAUGAGUUUGGAUUUGGUUAAAAGUUCAACGCAUUUCAAGUUCCGAAGCCAAAAGUUCAACAAAAAACCUCCAAAAAAGAACUCAGCUUUUAACAGAUCUCUUCCACUUCAAGCUCAGAAUCCAAUUCCUUAUUCCUCUCCCUCUCCUAUUUCAGAUUUUCAAUCCAACAAUUCGAUCUGCCCAGGAAUCUCUCUUUCCCUUUCAUGGCCGAUCAUUUCCAUUGCCUUUUCACGUAAUAGCAGUCUGUUUUUAUUCUUCGAAUCCAAUUCCUCUUUUAAAAAAUAAAAAAUAAUGGUUUUGGUUGCGGAGUCGAUGCAGUUUAAUACUCUGCGAUCGGAUCCUGCUGAUUAUUUCUCCUAGUGAACUCAUCCUUGGAGGUGCUUAGCAGGGUUUGGCUCAUGCUCUCUAGCAAUUUAAUUGUUAGCGUUUAGUUCUCUUGUAAUGCAAUCGUUUGACGAGAACGAGAACAAUAAAUUGAAGCGUUUGAGACCAUUCAGUAACGACAUGCCUGUGACUGACACCAUCACCCCUCAAAAUCUUGAUGACUGCAUUUUUUUCCCUGUUGAGGAGAUUGUACAAUCCCCAUUGCCAGGAUGCGGUGCACCCACUUCAAUUAGUUUCAGUCCUGAUGAUACUUUA
This 659-nucleotide unclassified non-coding RNA is filed under the name Hevea brasiliensis (rubber tree). Lineage: Eukaryota; Viridiplantae; Streptophyta; Magnoliopsida; Malpighiales; Euphorbiaceae. The record is from RNAcentral.